Molecule: ribosomal RNA, 406 nt
Filed under: uncultured bacterium
Lineage: Bacteria
Description: partial 16S ribosomal RNA
Rfam family: Bacterial small subunit ribosomal RNA
Source: RNAcentral
AUUGAACGCUGGCGGCAGGCCUAACACAUGCAAGUCGAACGCGAGGCGGACGGGGGAGUAAUGUAUGGGCAACUGCCUGAUGGAGGGGGAUAACUAACGGAAACGGUAGCUAAUGCCGCAAAGCAUCGCGUGUGCCGACAGGGGAUUAGCUAGUCGGGGGGGUAAAGGAUAACAUAGGCGACGAGCACUAGCUGGUCUGAGAGGAUGACGCGCCACACUGGAACUGGGACACGGUCCAUACUCCUACGGGAGGCAGCAGUGGGGAAUAUUGCACAAGGGGCGCAAGCCUGAUGCAGCCAUGCCGCGUGUAUGAAGAAGGCCUUAGGGUUGUAAAGUACUGUCAGUCGGGAGGCGUUACCGACAGAAGAAGCACCGGCUAACUCCGUGCCAGCAGCCGCGGUAAUAC